This 397-nucleotide ribosomal RNA is filed under the name uncultured Glomeromycotina. Its description in RNAcentral is "SSU rRNA". It matches the Rfam family "Eukaryotic small subunit ribosomal RNA", at positions 697 to 1092 of the family's 1831-position model. Lineage: Eukaryota; Fungi; Glomeromycota. The record is from RNAcentral.
CCUUUCUGAAGAACUGUAAUGGUCAUUAAUUUGGUGUUGCAGGGAAACAGGACUGUUACUUUGAAAAAAUUAGAGCGUUUAAAGCAGGCUAACGCUUGAAUACAUUAGCAUGGAAUAAUGAAAUAGGACGUUCGAACCUAUUUUGUUGGUUUCUAGGAUUGACGUAAUGAUUAAUAGGGAUAGUUGGGGGCAUUAGUAUUCAAUUGUCAGAGGUGAAAUUCUUGGAUUUAUUGAAGACUGACUACUGCGAAAGCAUUUGCCAAGGAUGUUUUCAUUAAUCAAGAACGAAAGUUAGGGGAUCGAAGACGAUCAGAUACCGUCGUAGUCUUAACCAUAAACUAUGCCGACUAGGGAUCGGAUGAUGUUAAUUUUUUAAUGACUCAAUCGGCGCCUUACG